RNAcentral lists this unclassified non-coding RNA (391 nucleotides) under soil metagenome. RNAcentral's name for it is "partial contains 5.8S ribosomal RNA, internal transcribed spacer 2, and large subunit ribosomal RNA". The stretch from base 1 to 122 matches the Rfam family "5.8S ribosomal RNA", at positions 35 to 154 of the family's 154-position model. The record is from RNAcentral.
GUUGAAGAACGUAGCGAAAUGCGAUACUUGGUGUGAAUUGCAGAAUCCCGUGAACCAUCGAGUCUUUGAACGCAAGUUGCGCCCGAAGCCAUUAGGCCGAGGGCACGCCUGCCUGGGCGUCACACGUCGUUGCCCCCCCAUCUACUCCUUCGGGAUUGCGGGGGGCGGAUGAUGGCCUCCCGUGCGCCUCGCCGCGCGGUUGGCAUAAAUGCCAAGUCCUCGGCGACGCACGCCACGACAAUCGGUGGUUGCGAAACCUCGGUUGCCCGUCGUGUGCGGUCGUCGCGCAUCGAGGGCUCGAAAAAAUUGCCGGGUUCCGGCUCGGCUUUCAACGCGACCCCAGGUCAGGCGGGGUUACCCGCUGAAUUUAAGCAUAUCAAUAAGCGGAGGA